UACAGAGGGGGCAAGCGUUAUUCGGAAUUAUUGGGCGUAAAGGGCGCGUAGGCGGCUUUUCAAGUGACGGGUGAAAGCCCUCGGCUUAACCGAGGAACUGCCUGUCAGACUGGAAGGCUUGAGACCGGGAGAGGUGAGUGGAAUUCCCAGUGUAGCGGUGAAAUGCGUAGAUAUUGGGAGGAACAUCAGUGGCGAAGGCGGCUACCUGGACCGGUUCUGACGCUGAGGCGCGAAAGCGUGGGGAGCGAACAGG
Molecule: ribosomal RNA, 253 nt
Filed under: uncultured bacterium
Lineage: Bacteria
Description: partial 16S ribosomal RNA
Rfam family: Bacterial small subunit ribosomal RNA
Source: RNAcentral